GUGCUUGCUUUGGCAGUACAUAUACUAAAAUUGAAACAAUAGAGAAGAUUAGUAUGGCUCCUAGGAAAGGUUGACAUAAAUUUGUGAAGUGUUCCACAUUUAA
This is a small nuclear RNA of Vombatus ursinus (common wombat), 103 nucleotides long. Lineage: Eukaryota; Metazoa; Chordata; Mammalia; Diprotodontia; Vombatidae. The record is from Ensembl.